This 292-nucleotide long non-coding RNA is filed under the name Arachis ipaensis. RNAcentral's name for it is "long non-coding RNA (AIPA_LNC001316)". Lineage: Eukaryota; Viridiplantae; Streptophyta; Magnoliopsida; Fabales; Fabaceae. The record is from RNAcentral.
AUUCAUGUCAUGCAUGGCCUUUCUUGGUGCCUUCAAGAACUCUCCCAAACCAAUUCUUGUUGUGUUAUUGACUACCCUUUUGUUAUUAUUAUUGAUCACCAAUGAUGAUGAAUUCAUGGAAAGCUUGUUGGUUGAGAUUUGCGGAGGAGGAGGAAGAGAGUGUUGGAGUUGGAAAGUAAUGUUUUUGAGGGAGAAAUUGAAAGUGGUUUUGAGGGAUAAAGUGAGAGUGAUUCCAAUGAGUAAGCCAAAGCCAAAGACAAGAACAUAGGAGAAGAAGUUUAGGAGAUAGAGU